This 378-nucleotide long non-coding RNA is filed under the name Panax ginseng (ginseng). Its description in RNAcentral is "long non-coding RNA (PGIN_LNC004061)". The record is from RNAcentral. Lineage: Eukaryota; Viridiplantae; Streptophyta; Magnoliopsida; Apiales; Araliaceae.
GACAACCCGAGAAAUUAGAAAAUUAUUAAAAUCUUAAAUGAUUGGUUUAAGGUCAAAUAAUAGACCUAGACAGAGAAUAAGUGUAUGUGUUUGAUGUUUUCAGAAAGGAAUUUUGAGGAUUUAAAAUUUCUUUUAGUGAAUUAUUAAGGAUUAAAGGUAUAUGAGUAUAUGUUCAGGAUUACGGUAUCAUGUAUACAGAAUGUGGUUAAGGGUCAAGUGUUGACCAGAUAAAUUAUAUCUGUGUCAAACCCUAAUAUUAUUAGAACGUCAACGUUCAUUUAUAAAAUUAUUACGUUUGACAAGAAACCCUAGAAAUCGGUUCUGGAAACCCUAAUUUUAAUACCGGGAAUUCGAAACCCUAAUUUCAAAUUAUCGAAC